Dermacentor andersoni is the source of this 2648-nucleotide non-coding RNA. NCBI's taxonomy places the organism in Eukaryota, Metazoa, Arthropoda, Arachnida, Ixodida, Ixodidae. The record is from RefSeq and is a predicted model, not a curated record.
AUCAUUAAAGAUGCGGGAGGCCGUACGGCUUUGCUGCUUAUAAAUAGCUCGUACUUGCCUAAAGAUUGUAUUUAUUUCCGCCGACAGCUAUUCGAUUGUAGUAUUCCGCGAUCACGGUGGCUUGCGCGCUUUUAGUUGCAAUCUCAAGCGGUCAUCGAAAACGCGCGUACAUGCGGAUUUGCCGCCGAACUGACACUCUUGAAAUUAUUUGCAGGAUUUUUCGCCGACCUACCCCCGGAAGAGCGUGACAAUUACGUCAUACCGCCGCCUUCGGAGGACAACGAUGUGCCAGAAGGGCGCGACUGGCGCACCGAGGGCCGGCAGAUACGGGGCCGCAGCCACAGCAGUGGUGGCCGGGUGCUACAUGGAGAGUCGGGGGAGCUGCACCCAGAAGGGGCAUUGGAGGCAGAAAACCCUGUCAACCUGGCCAGGGCCAGGGAGGAGCGCAAGUGUUUUGGACCCAUUGGUGCGGCCAGAGAUAAGUGCGGCUCACAACCGCAGCAUCAACAACCAUCGUUGUUGGAAUGGUCUGGUAUUCCUCGCGGCCAAAACCUUUUCUAAGAAAAUAAACAGACGGCACAAGUGCCUGUGUAAACAAAAAAGUUUGAUGCCUAUGUUGCUGUUAUCUAGAGUGCUUGGUUGUUAAAAUCAACUCUGGAAUGAAUGCGUUGCAGAAAUGGAGGUGACUUGUGAAAUUUGAGGUAUGUUGCCACCUUUCGGAACAGAUUUCUUAAAAUAAAAAGAAGCCAUGCAAGAAAAAAGGGCAAAAGGGAUUAUGACCCUCCCCAUUAAAAAAAUAUUCAAAUGAAGCAAUGUUUCGACAUUGCCUUCAUUAAUUAUUGGUCAACAGACCUUAAUGUCUAAAGGAGUAUACUGUUUUAUCGAAAUAUACAGUGAAGUUAUUGAUUUUAAGUAACAAGAAAUUGCACAGAAGGAAGUUAAAGUUCGGGCACUGUACAGAGACGUUCACUGGCAAUUAAAAAAUUGUCUGACUUGUCAACUAAACAGUCAGAAAUGCAAUUUUCUUUUCUUAAUGGCUUGAGUGUUUCGAGUUGAACUAUAAAAGCUACUUCUAAUAAAAGAUACAAGUAUCUCAAAAGGUGGUGGCAUACCUUGUGUAAAUUUGCUGUAGUGCUUUGCUAGGUUGUGACAUGCAUUGCAGGACACCUGGUUCACACCACAGCAGCUGGCUAUUAGCAUCAGCCAAGGCUCCUCUAGCAUACAGUCCAUAGUGCAGUGUCUAUAGCGCAAAAUUUGCAGAAUUAAUCAGUGGGGUCUGUUCUUGCAAGGCUGCCAGUGUUUGAACAAGAGUGUUGGCAUUCUAGGCAUAACACACUUUCUUAAGACCAGCCUGAUGCACAUUACAAGGAGCUCGGUCAUCAUUGUGCCCUGAUAGCGAGGCUGUUGGCAACCGUGGGUUGAAUGCGAAACCAUGACGCAGCACUCUGCGUAAGAGGUUCUGCACAGGUGAUUCGAAAGACUUUAUAACAGGAAAACUGAGCUUUGUGAACCAAAUACUCGAGAGUGCAGUAAGCUUAACAAAUGACCAAAGCUAAAUGGUUUUUUUCGGAUGUCCGGUCAGAAACAUGUGACAUCAGUGUUGCAAGUUAAACUUUUAGUAGAAAGCUUCAGAGUUUUGCAUGAGUUCAAUUUUACAUCCACUUCUACCGCUACCUCAAUAUUUCCUUUGUCAUUGAGUGUACUUUAACUGACCAUUUACUGCAUAUUCUCGGGAAUGUCACACUGGCCUAUUUGCACAAUUAAAAUGAUCUCGUACAUUUUUGCGCCAUCCAUGUCAGUGAGUUAAGUGCUAGUCAUAUUUUGUUAUUUCAAUACCGUGAUUACUCACUUGAGUGCCUUUUAUUUACAACUAUUUUGUGAAUCUUCACAGGGUUAACUGUAUCAGUAUUUUUUUUUUUUAAGUCUGAAGCGUACAUGUGUGAAUCUGUGUUCACAGGACGACAGGUAGUUGAGAGGAAAGUUAAAUUCAUUGGGAAGUAAGACGGUGGUUCAGCCUAUGGGACUGUGCAAUUUCGCAUAGAUGUUGGGAGAGUCGCAAUAUGCGAGUGCAACACAAAUGCACAAGAACGCAUUUCAUCAUAGGCUGAAGAAAACACGCACUUUGUGUUCAGUUCCCACUGCUUUUCCAGUAAAGUAUCAAUCAUACGCAGCAAUGUAGCACACCCCUACCAAUGAAAAAGGCUUGAAAUUGAAAUGCUUUGGCUGUUGUCAAAACCAUUUGUCACCCAUGUCAAGUGAUGAAAAUAAGUGCCAGCUAGUAAGUUAUUUUUAUUCAUUGCAAUGUUCUACUUGUUAUGUGCAAGCUUUAGCAUUACCAUUUUAGCAGAAUGCAGUGGGCGAAAUUAGGACAGAAGUGCUGGAUGCAAUGUUGGGCUUUGCUAUGUUCAAACCAGAAAACCGAUCUCAAUGCCACUUGCAUUCUUUUAACAAUUUUUUGUGUGUGGUUAGCAAUGCCGAUUUUUCAUGAAGUGCUCAGUUGUACCAUUGUUGUAUUUUGUUACACUCAUUCUUGAUCUUGUGCCAGUUAUGUCUGUAAUGUAUAGUGCACAGUUUUGCACACAGCCUUUAUGACAUUCCUACAUUUUGCGAGGUCAAUAAAGGCCAGAAGUGAAAACAAAACGCUUGUC